UUUCCAUAACCCGGCAACCCUGUGUGCAAACAACGCGGUUUUUUCCUACUUGCUCUAAAAUAAUUUUUUUGUAAAAUUAAUAUAUCAAAAAAUUUGUACUUAACUGCAACUUAAAGUGCACUUUGUGGCGCAAAUCAGUACAAACGCGGUCUGCUGUCAGCUUGCAGUCCUAUUGGUGUGAAGUGGAGUCUUUCUGCUGAUUUAGCUUUUUACUCGUUCUUCCCGGUGCAUCAUCCUCUUAGUUUGAUCGAUAUUGUAGCGGAGCGGAUUUUGUUACUGAGCCGCCUUUAGACUCCUGACUAAACCAAGUACUGGCUGAGAAGUUUUCUGCUUCCGCAAACUGACAAUAUCAUUUCGAUAAACGAAGCAUCUUCAGUGCGGCAAAUAUACUUUUCCUGUUUUUCCGUCUUCAAAUAUAUCACGGUUUUCCUUUUCAAACGUCAGGUCAAUGCAACGCACUUUGCAGUGUUUCGUCGAAUUAAUAAACGGUUUACUUUUUCCUUAGCUUGUAAGCAUGUACACAUCUUUGUUUAAGAAUCCUCGUUAUUGUCUAAUUAAUAUUGAAGACCAUUUGACCGAGUGUGCUAAGCUGUGGUCAUACCGAGCUUUCGCGAAUGUUUAGAAUUUUAUGAAAUAUUUCAGGACUGUGAAAAUUUUAUAUGUCAACCGCAGUGCAAUUAAUAGUUUUUAUGCAGGAGGAUCUAAAAGUAAAAGUCAACUUGGUAAAUAUCUGCACUAACUAGGUCAAUAGAUCUUUGCACCCCAGGUAGCAAAGACGCCAAGCUUUUGAGUUUUAAAUGGCAUCAACAACUUAUACUCUUUAACAACAUUAAUACUCUAUUGGUCCAAUUCAAAUCGUUAUUAGCAUGCAAAGCUUACGGGUCUUUCAUUAAAAUUUCGGACUUGGCUUGCAAGAACAUUGCCAAAGAAUUGCGACCUAAUAUUAUCCGUAUUAGUUCCAGGUCGAUUAGUCAGAAUGAGUGUUUUUGGUGCAUUCGACGUAUGGCUAAACCUACUCAUGUUUCGCAGCCCAUUAAAUAUACG
Long non-coding RNA from Glossina fuscipes, 1044 nucleotides. RefSeq lists it as uncharacterized. The transcript is spliced from 4 exons. The record is from RefSeq and is a predicted model, not a curated record. Lineage: Eukaryota; Metazoa; Arthropoda; Insecta; Diptera; Glossinidae.